Molecule: ribosomal RNA, 494 nt
Filed under: Mantidactylus charlotteae
Lineage: Eukaryota; Metazoa; Chordata; Amphibia; Anura; Mantellidae
Description: partial 16S ribosomal RNA
Rfam family: Bacterial large subunit ribosomal RNA
Source: RNAcentral
ACGGUCCCCUSGCGUGCGAAGGUWGCAUAAUCACUUGUUCUUUAAAUGGGGACCKGUAUCACCGGCWCCACGAGGGUUAUACUGUCUCCUCUUUCGAUCAGUGAAACUAAUCUCCCCGUGAAGAAGCGGGAAUACUUUUAUAAGACGAGAAGACCCUAUGGAGCUUCAAACUCAACUACCCCCUNAUUUUAUAGCCCCUUAACCACACUGGGCCCUGUAUAGUUAGUUUUAGGUUGGGGCGACCACGGAGUAAAACAAAACCUCCACAAUGAANGGGACCACCCCCUUAUCUAAGAGCUACACCUCUAAGAAUUAGAAUUCUAACAUAARAUGAUCCAUAAUUUGAUCAAUGAACCAAGUUACCCUAGGGAUAACAGCGCAWUCCAUUUCAAGAGCCCAUAUCGACAAAUGGGUUUACGACCUCGAUGUUGGAUCAGGAUCUCCCAGUGGUGCAGCAGCUACNAACGGUUCGUUUGUUCAACGAUUAAAAUCCU